This 492-nucleotide ribosomal RNA is filed under the name uncultured bacterium. RNAcentral's name for it is "partial 16S ribosomal RNA". It matches the Rfam family "Bacterial small subunit ribosomal RNA", at positions 29 to 507 of the family's 1533-position model. The record is from RNAcentral.
AUUGAACGCUGGCGGCAUGCUUUACACAUGCAAGUCGAACGGUAACAGGCCUUCGGGUGCUGACGAGUGGCGAACGGGUGAGUAAUGCAUCGGAACGUACCCAGAGGUGGGGGAUAACGCAGCGAAAGCUGUGCUAAUACCGCAUGUGAUCUGAGGAUGAAAGCGGGGGACCGAGCAGCAAUGUUUGGCCUCGCGCCUUUGGAGCGGCCGAUGUCGGAUUAGCUAGUUGGUGGGGUAAAGGCCUACCAAGGCGACGAUCCGUAGCUGGUCUGAGAGGACGACCAGCCACACUGGGACUGAGACACGGCCCAGACUCCUACGGGAGGCAGCAGUGGGGAAUUUUGGACAAUGGGCGCAAGCCUGAUCCAGCAAUGCCGCGUGCGGGAAGAAGGCCUUCGGGUUGUAAACCGCUUUUGGCAGGAACGAAACGGUGUCCGCUAAUACCGGGCGCUAAUGACGGUACCUGCAGAAUGAGCACCGGCUAACUACGUG